Myodes glareolus (Bank vole) is the source of this 1830-nucleotide long non-coding RNA. RefSeq lists it as uncharacterized. The record is from RefSeq and is a predicted model, not a curated record. NCBI's taxonomy places the organism in Eukaryota, Metazoa, Chordata, Mammalia, Rodentia, Cricetidae.
CCACAUUGGUCCUCUUGUGUGUCUUCCAGGAAUUUCUGCAGCCAUGAUUGACAUGAGAGACCCUUACGUAUUGGAUGUUGGAUCAACACCCUUCAAGAAACUGUGAGGAACAUUCCAGGCCAAACCACAACAUGAAUGUGGAUAGUGUAGGCUCACAGACUUCGGAUCGGGAACGUGGACAAGUUCCCUGAUUUCAAAGCCCUGCAGUUCUUUGGAAUGGAAUCAGAUGUUGCUCUGAGAGAGGAGAUGGGGAAAAAAGAAAGCCUCCGCAAGGGUACCAGGCAGCCUGGGAGUGCGCCCACUCUCUACAGGUUAUCGCUGUGUAGAAAGUGCUUCCAAUGCCAUCAAAUUGAAGGAUCCACUCGAAUGAACGAAAGCAAGAUCUGUCCAGAACUGGUUAUUCCCGACAUCCCUGAGGGGCCAUCACCUCCUCCAAGCACUUGAGAAAACUCCAAGGACGGGAGAAGCUGAGGCUGUUACAGGCCCCGCCCAGCGGAUUGCUAGCCCCCCUCCCUUAGAAGAAGUCUCCCCUUCUUGACUUAAGACACAGUCACUGAGACUGUCCAGCCAUGCACCACGCAGCAAUGUUCCAGUCAGCAACAGAGCUGUGCCAGGCUACUUCCAUGGGUGAACAUGCACGCUGCUGACACACACGUCUCAGCACAGGUCUCCACCCGUGGAGUGACAUGAGUGUUGUAGAAUUCUGUGACGCUCUUAAAGUUGGCUAUGGCCAAGUGUCUCUGUUCAGUGGGAAGCAAGAGGAAGUAGAAGUUUUAGCUUUUAUUGGAUGUCCUCAGGAGAGGAAGUGUCCACUGCUUCCUCUUCUCCUCUUUUCGAGACUCGAAGGUGCAUGCGAGGACAAGAUCUAGAGCACCCAUCUUAGAUGAUGAAAGGAAGAAGUUGGGGAGGUUGGAUCUUUGAGUUGGAAGGAGCCUGGGUCCUGAUGACUUGGAGCUGCCUUAUCGGUUCAGGACUGUCUACGCUGGCAUGGCAGAGCGGUACACUGCCAGCUUGGCCACCUUGCUGAUGCUACAGUUCUAGUUCACCUUCCUAGCAGGGCAGUCACUGUGACACCGACAACAUGACCUGUAAAUGGGAUCUUUGCUUAGCCACAAAGCAAGGUUCUGGAAUUGCGUGGGGAAAGGGAAUCAGGGUGCCCCAGCUCACACUUCUAUUGUGCCCGGAGAAACAGAAUCCUGGAACACUUGAGAGUGGGAUUCUGGAGGCUCCUGCACUGCAGCCGUGGGGCUUUGGACAAGUCACUUCACUGAAGAUCAUGAUGAGGAGGGCACAACCCUUCCUAUAGGCCAGCAUGUGGCGGCAUGCUUGAUGGAGUCACCUGAGAAAUUAAAGCCCGAGAAUCCACUGUGGGGGCUCUAACUUCCCUGGUUAGCGCUAUCUGGCCACCUGUACAUUUUAAAGCAUCUCCAGCUCUUUAUGGACUCAAGAAUGACUAAAUUAAAGGACUCUGGUGGGAGGGCUUUCUAUAAAUCAAUUCCCAUUUACCUAGUAUGCAAAUCAGAUGUGCCUGUCAUGAAUAUUCAUAGUCACAUCUCUGUGACAAGUUGCUCUGACCCUGUAGUUGCUUCUUACUAUGAUUUAAACAUUUGUUCAAAAGUCAAACUCAAGGCCCAGUGGGUAGGUACUAUGUAUGAAGUGGUGGGUUACGCCAGGGUAAUUAAAAUGGGACUGCGACCCUCUCUGUCCUCCUGGCUUCUGUCAUGUCAGAGAGCUUGUCCUUCCAGAGGACACAGCAGUAACAUGACACCUCAGAAGGAGAAAGCCGCUCUCAGCAGAGAGCAAAUUUGCCCAGUGCCCUGCCAGUCCAGC